GGCUUCCAUCAUUUCUUU
Molecule: small nuclear RNA, 18 nt
Filed under: Arabidopsis thaliana (thale cress)
Lineage: Eukaryota; Viridiplantae; Streptophyta; Magnoliopsida; Brassicales; Brassicaceae
Description: snRNA_14675
Source: RNAcentral